RNAcentral lists this ribosomal RNA (253 nucleotides) under uncultured bacterium. Its description in RNAcentral is "partial 16S ribosomal RNA". It matches the Rfam family "Bacterial small subunit ribosomal RNA", at positions 524 to 776 of the family's 1533-position model. The record is from RNAcentral.
UACGUAGGGUGCGAGCGUUAAUCGGAAUUACUGGGCGUAAAGUGUGCGCAGGCGGCCGAGCAAGUCGAGUGUGAAAGCCCCGAGCUUAACUUGGGAACUGCGCUCGAAACUACUUGGCUAGAGUGUGGCAGAGGGAGGUGGAAUUCCACGUGUAGCGGUGAAAUGCGUAGAGAUCUGCAAGAAUACCCGUGGCGAAGGCGGCCAGCUGGGCCGGUUCUGACGCUGAGGCGCGAAAGCGUGGGGAGCAAACAGG